GCGCGUUAGUUUACUGAUUCUACUGUGACCUGCAAUUGGCUCUUUAAUUCAUUUAUGUUUUGUUUGAUGGUAUCUUUUACUCGGAUAACCGUAUUAUUUCUAAACCUAAUACUUGCAACAUGCCCCGACUUCUGGAAGGGAUGCGUUUGAUAGAUUUUAGGUCUACGCGAGCUCUGCCCGUUGCUGCGAUGAUUCAUGAUACCUCGACGGAUCUCACGGCCAUCGUGCCGGCGACGCGUCUUUCAACUUUCUGCCCUAUCUUUUUUCUAUGGUAUGAUAGUGGCCUACCAUGGUGGUGACCGGUGACGGAGAAUUAGGGUUCCAUUCCCGACAGGGAUCCUGACAAACGGCUACCACAUCCGCGGAAGGCAUCAGGCGCGCAAAUUACCCAGUCCUGACGGUGGGAGGUAGUAAAAAUAACUAACAAUACCGGGCUCUAUGAUUCUGGUAAUUGCAAGGACUACAAUCUAAAUCCCUUAACAAGGAUCCAUUGUAGGGCAAGUCUGGUCCCCGCAACCAUAUUGAGGCCCCGUAAUUGGAAUGAGUACAAUUUAAAUCCUUUAACAAGGAUCUAUUGGAGGGCAAGUCUGGUGCCAGCCAGCCAAAAAAAGACCC
This 615-nucleotide ribosomal RNA is filed under the name uncultured Pezizomycotina. Its description in RNAcentral is "SSU rRNA". It matches the Rfam family "Eukaryotic small subunit ribosomal RNA", at positions 55 to 586 of the family's 1831-position model. The record is from RNAcentral. Lineage: Eukaryota; Fungi; Ascomycota.